This 70-nucleotide transfer RNA is filed under the name Escherichia coli. Its description in RNAcentral is "tRNA-Gly". It matches the Rfam family "tRNA". Rfam says of the family: Transfer RNA (tRNA) molecules are approximately 80 nucleotides in length. Lineage: Bacteria; Pseudomonadati; Pseudomonadota; Gammaproteobacteria; Enterobacterales; Enterobacteriaceae. The record is from RNAcentral.
GCGGGUAUCGUAUACGGCUAUUACCCUCAGCCUUCCAAGCUGAUGAUGCGGGUUCGACCCGCCACCCGCC